UUUCCGUAGGUGAACCUGCGGAAGGAUCAUUAUUGUAUAACCGAGGUGCGAGGGCUGUCGCUGACCCGAAAGGUCGUGCACGCCCGAGUGCCCUCACACACAUCCAACUCACCCCUAUGUGCACCACCGCGUGGGUCCCCCUUUGGCUUGUUCGGAGGGGGGCUUACGUUUUCACACAAACUUUGUAUGCAGUGUAGAAUGUAUUUUUUGUUUUUGCGAUCACGCAAUCAAUACAACUUUCAACAAUGGAUCUCUUGGCUCUC
Molecule: unclassified non-coding RNA, 263 nt
Filed under: plant metagenome
Description: partial contains small subunit ribosomal RNA, internal transcribed spacer 1, and 5.8S ribosomal RNA
Source: RNAcentral